Molecule: ribosomal RNA, 253 nt
Filed under: uncultured bacterium
Lineage: Bacteria
Description: partial 16S ribosomal RNA
Rfam family: Bacterial small subunit ribosomal RNA
Source: RNAcentral
GACGUAGGGCGCGAGCGUUGUCCGGAUUUAUUGGGCGUAAAGAGCUCGUAGGCGGCUCAUUGCGUCAACCGUGAAAACCAGCAGCUCAACUGUUGGCUUGCGGUUGAUACGGGUGGGCUGGAGUUCGGUAGGGGAGACUGGAAUUCCUGGUGUAGCGGUGAAAUGCGCAGAUAUCAGGAGGAACACCUAUGGCGAAGGCAGCUCGCUGGGACGUGACUGACGCUGAGACGCGAAAGCGUGGGGAGCAAACAGG